RNAcentral lists this transfer RNA (76 nucleotides) under Streptococcus cristatus ATCC 51100. Its description in RNAcentral is "tRNA-Thr". It matches the Rfam family "tRNA". Rfam says of the family: Transfer RNA (tRNA) molecules are approximately 80 nucleotides in length. Their secondary structure includes four short double-helical elements and three loops (D, anti-codon, and T loops). Further hydrogen bonds mediate the characteristic L-shaped molecular structure. tRNAs have two regions of fundamental functional importance: the anti-codon, which is responsible for specific mRNA codon recognition, and the 3' end, to which the tRNAs corresponding amino acid is attached (by aminoacyl-tRNA synthetases). tRNAs cope with the degeneracy of the genetic code in two manners: having more than one tRNA (with a specific anti-codon) for a particular amino acid; and 'wobble' base-pairing, i.e. permitting non-standard base-pairing at the 3rd anti-codon position. Lineage: Bacteria; Bacillati; Bacillota; Bacilli; Lactobacillales; Streptococcaceae. The record is from RNAcentral.
GCUGAUUUAGCUCAGUAGGCAGAGCGCAUCCAUGGUAAGGAUGAGGUAGCCGGUUCGAUCCCGGCAAUUAGCAUCA